Astyanax mexicanus (Mexican tetra) is the source of this 1297-nucleotide long non-coding RNA. RefSeq lists it as uncharacterized. The record is from RefSeq and is a predicted model, not a curated record. Lineage: Eukaryota; Metazoa; Chordata; Actinopteri; Characiformes; Acestrorhamphidae. The transcript has 3 exons.
AAAAAGUACGUAAUACCUAGUUAGGUUUGCUACCUACCUACAAACUUCAAAGGUUUCAGGAUAGCUGACAGUUGAGGAAAGUUGUAAUGUUUGAGGAAUCCGCGCGCCAAGUGCUACGAGAAACCGCACGGGUUGAACUGGGCUGAUGCGCAGGGGCACCAAGGUAAAUAUCAUCUAGAUUCAUUUACACUCUAAACGUGAUCACACGUUUGGGGUGUGCGCGACGGUUGGUUUUGGGGUCUAGGGAUGCUGAUCGUGUGUGCGCGUGUAGCAGUACUAUAACAGGCUCUGUGUGUGUGUGUGUACUAUAACAGGCCGUGUGUGUGUUUGUGUGUGUACUAUAACAGGCUCUGUGUGUGUGUGUGUGUGUGUGUGUGUACUAUAACAGGCUGUGUGUGUGUGUGUGUGUGUGUGUGUGUACUAUAACAGGCUGUGUGUGUGUGUGUGUGUGUGUGUGUUUGUGUGCGUGCAUGCGUGCGUGCGUGUGUGUGUGAGGAGCAGCAUAACAGCGGGAGUAAGUAUUCUUACUGACAGGAGUCAUCUAUAACUGUAAAUAAAAAGAAAAUAUACAAGUCAGCUUUGGUAGAAAAGUGCUAACAGUAGGGAACAGUACGUUUUCCACUUUGUUAGUGCAGUGCUGGUACAGGGUCGUCUGCCGUAUUUGAGCCAGUACACACCUGUGUUCAGAGAAUCAACAGGUUAGGUGCGACAGUCGUUCACCAGCACAAAAACGACUGCUCAGUGACACUGAUGUAGAACAGUCAGAAAGUGACACUGGGCCAGCUGUGGGCCAGAAGUAUUUUUCUGCUUGUGACUCUAAACCAGCAGUGCCGACUUAGAAACGACUCCGGGCCAAAGUCGCUGGCUAUCUGGGUAUUUGGUAGUAGUGAGUGUGUUUAUAUAAAAAUGUGCUAGCUAAGUUAAUAACAUACACUUUUAACGAAGUAGCAGAGUGUGCAGGAACGUAUUACUGAACUCUGGAAUAAACAAUACAAAUAAAGAUUUUUUUAUAUUAACUCACAGACACAGCACCAUUUUAUUUAACUAAAAAGCUAGCUAAAACAAACAUUACACAGUGACUUGUAGAGACACACAACCACUAAGUUAACCUAGCUGACUAGCUAGCUAAUGUACAACAUCUAAACAAAAGUUCUGUGGAAGCAUUUAGGUUAGCUAGUAAAGACCAAUUCGCUAGCUAACUACCAAAUUGGUUAACUAGCAAGCCUAAAUGCUUUUACAGUAUGUAUGUUUGUAAAAGCAUUUAAGCUAACGCUAGCAAACUGGCUGGUUUCUAUCC